UACGUAGGUCCCGAGCGUUGUCCGGAUUUAUUGGGCGUAAAGCGAGCGCAGGUGGUUUAUUAAGUCUGGUGUAAAAGGCAGUGGCUCAACCAUUGUAUGCAUUGGAAACUGGUAGACUUGAGUGCAGGAGAGGAGAGUGGAAUUCCAUGUGUAGCGGUGAAAUGCGUAGAUAUAUGGAGGAACACCGGUGGCGAAAGCGGCUCUCUGGCCUGUAACUGACACUGACGCUCGAAAGCGUGGGGAGCAAACAGG
Molecule: ribosomal RNA, 252 nt
Filed under: uncultured bacterium
Lineage: Bacteria
Description: partial 16S ribosomal RNA
Rfam family: Bacterial small subunit ribosomal RNA
Source: RNAcentral